CUCUACCCACUGAUGGUUUUCCAUCCUGAAUUUCUCCCCCCUACCUGGUUCCUCUGGGCCUGUAUUGUAGUUCCUGUACUGCAACAUUUUGGGCUGGCACAGAGGACGCAACCCUGGGACUUGAGGGUUGGAUAGCCCCCAUUGGAUGCUGCUAAAAAGUUGUCACCCCUAACUUACUGCUCACCCUUUUCCACAUUUCUUCCCCAAAGAGGAACUGAGAGAUUGCGCUGGUUAACAACCACCACAAUAGCAGAAAAUGUCCUCACGGCUCAACAGGAUUAGACAUGAUGGAUGCUUGUCCAUAUAUAAAGUGAGAUGACUCGGGGCGACUCUGGAGAUGCCGAAGAGAAGAGACAUUAUUGCCAUUGUACUGAUUGUGUUGCCUUGGACGCUGCUCAUCAGUGUUUGGCACCAAAGCAAUGUCUCCUCUGUCCCAGCUGCUCAAAAAGCUGACACAAUUGGUGGUCACUUGGACGCCCGAGCCUUAAAGGAAUCCCUCGCACUUCACAGCCAUGACAUUGUGCACGUGGUCCGCACUAAGUAUGUUUACAAACGGCCGCCACCCUGGUCUGAACUCCUUUCUACACUCCACAUCAUUACUCCUACUUACAGCCGUCCAGUUCAGAAAGCUGAGCUGACCCGCCUGGCUAAUACUCUGCUCCACGUAUCCAACCUGCACUGGAUUGUGGUGGAGGACUCAAAGAUGAAGACUGCACUGGUUAGCCACCUUUUACAGGAAACGGGACUUAACUACACCCAUCUCAAUGUGGAGACACCUUUAAACUAUAAAGCCAGAGGAGAUGGUAGAAGCCCCAGAGUACCGCGUGGCACUUUGCAGAGGAACCUAGCCCUGCGGUGGCUGCGAGAAACCUUUCUUGUAAACUACAGCCAACCUGGAGUUGUUUACUUCGCAGAUGAUGACAACACAUACAGUCUGCAACUGUUUGAAGAGAUGAGGUCCACUAAAAAGGUGUCUGUAUGGCCCGUGGCAUUUGUGGGUGGCCUACGAUAUGAGUCACCCAAAAUAAAUGCCCAUGGCAAGGUGUUUGGCUGGAAAACCGUAUUUGACCCACAGCGGCCCUUCGCUAUAGACAUGGCUGGGUUUGCAGUGAACCUGGGCCUCAUUCUAUCCAAACCUCACGCUUAUUUCAAGCUGCGAGGCGUGAAGGGAGGAUAUCAGGAGAGUAGCUUACUGAAGGAACUGGUAACUCUGAAUGAGUUGGAGCCUAAAGCUUCAAACUGCACUAAGGUAUUAGUAUGGCACACACGGACUGAGAAGCCUGUGCUGGUAAAUGAGGGCAAGAAAGGAUUUACAGACUCUAACGUGGAGAUAUGACAUACUUGAUCUUUCACAGGUAUGAACCUGAAGGUGGAGGAGGGGAAAAGUCAAUGUGAAAGGAAACAUCACUGGGAUCUGCCUGGCCUUAAACCAAGCUUAGAGCUCCUGUGGCCAAAAUUAUAAUGGCACAAUAACAGCACUGCAAAGAUGGAGGCACUGAGCCAUGUGCAUGAGUUGAACUCAACAAAUCAAAGCACAACCGCACAGGAACUUUGUGGUCUGUUCUGCUGAGGAACACUGGAUUGACAAUGGAAGGAGCAACCAAAUGGAAACUGCCCAGUAAGAUCUGCACAGAGAGCUGAGACAAAAGAUGUUAGCGAGCAUUAACUUCAGAAAGAGAUGGAGCAGUGUCCAAUAAAAAACCCUCUCAGCACAGACGCCACCAGCCAAGCAUCCAAUCAGCACUUAAUAGGGCUUCUUUGUUCUGAGGCCAGCGGGCUGUCAGGCACAGGGCUGCACACAGAAAUAAAAGAAUUCCUUGUUUGAAAUGAGGCAGCAUUGACUGGCAGAUAGCACUAACGGGAUAGGAGCCUCCCUUUUAUUAGUACUGUACAACACUAGCCUAUUUAGAUAUCACUAAAUAUUAAUUAGGUAUUGUAUUUCUGCUCAGCACACAUUAUCUUGAUCAACUGACACACACACACACACAUAAACAUCUGCAGUGACUUAUCGUUAGACACAAACAACCUUUCACAUUAAUGUAUGAUCAGCACUUUCUGAUAUGCUGCGAUGGCUGCUGAGCUGUUCUAUUAAAGAGAGGAUUCAGCUUUGUUAAUGAUCUUUGGACUCCACAUGUGUAGUAUUAGGAAACUGGAUUGACAAAUUUUUUCUGUUUGUUGAUUAUUUAUGAUUCACAUUUGGAAAGAUGUGGAAUAUUAAGCCAUGAUUCCAAACAGUGGAAGUGAAUACUCUUGGUACUCAUUCUGACUAUUUCCAACAUGGCUUAGAUGGGGUGAUGUCAUACAACGCAGAGCUGCAGAAGCACGUCUUGAACACAUCAUGUCUCCUGACAGGUUCUGUUUUUGGUCAGUAUCCUGUAGUUGGUACCAUUGCAUUUCACAGAAACAUAUCUGUACGAUGUUUCAGUGCUGUCUGGGUGUCACAAGAAGCCAUUGACUUAUGUAACAUAAAAAUAUUUUUGUUUCA
Molecule: RNA transcript, 2485 nt
Organism: Fundulus heteroclitus (mummichog)
Lineage: Eukaryota; Metazoa; Chordata; Actinopteri; Cyprinodontiformes; Fundulidae
Gene name: galactosylgalactosylxylosylprotein 3-beta-glucuronosyltransferase 1
Exons: 8
Source: RefSeq, a predicted model, not a curated record